GGGCCUAUAGCUCAGUUGGGAGAGCGCUUGCAUGGCAUGCAAGAGGUCAUCGGUUCGAGCCCGAUUAGGUCCA
RNAcentral lists this transfer RNA (73 nucleotides) under Anaerolineae bacterium. RNAcentral's name for it is "tRNA-Ala". It matches the Rfam family "tRNA". From Rfam's summary of the family: Transfer RNA (tRNA) molecules are approximately 80 nucleotides in length. Their secondary structure includes four short double-helical elements and three loops (D, anti-codon, and T loops). Lineage: Bacteria; Bacillati; Chloroflexota; Anaerolineae. The record is from RNAcentral.